RNAcentral lists this ribosomal RNA (459 nucleotides) under uncultured bacterium. Its description in RNAcentral is "partial 16S ribosomal RNA". It matches the Rfam family "Bacterial small subunit ribosomal RNA", at positions 338 to 795 of the family's 1533-position model. The record is from RNAcentral.
CCUACGGGAGGCAGCAGUGAGGAAUAUUGGUCAAUGGGCGCGAGCCUGAACCAGCCAAGUCGCGUGAGGGAAGACGGCCCUACGGGUUGUAAACUUCUUUUGUCGGGGAGCAAAGCGAGGCACGUGUGACUCAUUGAGAGUACCCUAAGAAAAAGCAUCGGCUAACUCCGUGCCAGCAGCCGCGGUAAUACGGAGGAUCCGAUCGUUAUCCGGAUUUAUUGGGUUUAAGGGGAGCGCAGGGGGUGGUGAAAGUCAGUGGGAAAAUUGGGGGGCCAAACCCCGUACUGCCGUUGAAACUGGAUGGCUUGAGUGCAGUAGAGGUAUGCGGAAUGCGUGGUGUAGCGGUGAAAUGCAUAGAUAUCACGCAGAACUCCGAUUGCGAAGGCAGCAUACUGGAGUGCAACUGACGUUGAUGCUCGAAAGCGUGGGUAUCGAACAGGAUUAGAUACCCGUGUAGUC